GGAUCCAGACUUUGAUUCUGGCUCAGGACGAACGCUGGCGGCGUGCUUAACACAUGCAAGUGGAACGAGAGGAGAAGGAAGCUUGCUUCUUUCAAAUCUAGUGGCAAACGGGUGAGUAACACGUAAACAACCUGCCUUCAGGAUGGGGACAACAGACGGAAACGACUGCUAAUACCGAAUACGUUCCUUAGGUCGCAUGACUUUAGGAAGAAAGGGUGGCCUCUACUUGUAAGCUAUCGCCUGAAGAGGGGUUUGCGUCUGAUUAGGUAGUUGGUGAGGUAACGGCCCACCAAGCCGACGAUCAGUAGCCGGUCUGAGAGGAUGAACGGCCACACUGGAACUGAGACACGGUCCAGACUCCUACGGGAGGCAGCAGUGGGGAAUCUUCCGCAAUGGGCGAAAGCCUGACGGAGCAACGCCGCGUGAGUGAUGAC
RNAcentral lists this ribosomal RNA (434 nucleotides) under uncultured Bacillota bacterium. RNAcentral describes it as "bacterial SSU rRNA". It matches the Rfam family "Bacterial small subunit ribosomal RNA", at positions 1 to 412 of the family's 1533-position model. The record is from RNAcentral. Lineage: Bacteria; Bacillati; Bacillota.